Molecule: long non-coding RNA, 4657 nt
Filed under: Arabidopsis thaliana (thale cress)
Lineage: Eukaryota; Viridiplantae; Streptophyta; Magnoliopsida; Brassicales; Brassicaceae
Description: long non-coding RNA (ATHA_LNC000072)
Source: RNAcentral
AAGUUUGUCCGGCAACGUGCAAAUACAAAGUCUGUAUAUUUAAUCGAACAUGUGAGUUCAGUACAUGUCAUUGCUAUAGAUGUUGAUUGAUGCAACUUCGGUGAAAGUAAUAAAAGAAGAAAUGUCGAGCUUACAUGCAUGGCUUUUACAAAUAUAUGGAAAUGAAUAUUUCUCAUUAUAUUAAAUUUGCAACGUAUGUGUCACGUAUUCGAUGGGGUGGUGUAUGUUUUAAAUUCUCAUUAAUAUGAUAAGCCAAAAAAGACCUUUGAUUGAUAUAGCUAGGUAAGAAAUGUGGAAGACUUUAAAACAAAAAGUUGGAAUUAAUAAGAUAACUCUUGUCCAGAUCAGGUAGUUGAGAACAACAGAAGCUAAUUAGCACAAAUGGGUGCUCUGAUCUCUGAUGAAUCGUAAAAUAGAGGUAUGCGUGUGUUUAGUAAUAGCUGUACGUCUGAAACUCAAAUCAGAAGUAGAGGUGGUGACUAACAAAACAAAAACGUGUACGCCCAUUUUUGAUAUUACGUGUAUAUAUUACAAAAAGAGAAGCCGAAACAUAUUUGACUAGAAGAUAUACCAUAUAACAAGAUCAACGAAGUUCUAAAUAAGAGAGAAAGAGAUAAAUCAAGAAUUUUUUUUUCUGUUAAAGAAGAGAAAUCAAGACUUAAAAGAAAGGAAGAAAGGAAGAAAGGAAACAAAAAUGAGCAAUGUUGCCUCUGUUGCCAUCAUAUCUUUAACUUGAAUUUUCGUUUUUAUCAAUUUAACGUACGUGUAGGAUUUGUGAACUAAUAUAAUUUAUUGUUUGACUAAUAGAAUGGACUGGGAUAUGUGUUGAAGCAUGAAAAUGACAACUAAUUAAAUAAGUUUGACUACAUAGAGGAGUUUGAAAUAUAUCCAAAAGAUUGUUUUACAAUGCCAAAACUAUAUAUUAGUACCUCUGUUUUAGUAUUAAUUUCAUUUAAAACAUACUUUUUUUUUUUAAACAUACUUACCUCUGUUCUAAAAUGUAUUUCUAUGAAUCGUUUUAAUUAUAAUUAAUUUAGAGAGUUUAAUUAUUUUAGUGUUGCGUAUAAAGUUUGACACUUUCACUGAAUUAAUUUCAAUUUUUAUAUAGUAUACAUAAAAUUUUCUCACUAUUUUUAUCUCUAUACAUUUAUUAGUUUUCAUCUUUGCUCGUUUUACAUAUUCUGAUUUUUAAUACUAAUUAGUUAAAAUCAUAUAUUUACGAUAAAUGCAUAUUGAUUUUAUUAAUAUCAAAUGAAGUAUAAUAGAUUAAAAUAUAUUUAUUGUUAGUAAUAGUAAUAUUCAUAUACUUUUGAUGCAAAUCUAAAACUUUAUUGUAAACAUAAUUUUAAAUGCUUCUUUUCUUUGAUUACUUUUCUAAUGUUAUUAUAAUUUAAACAUCAAUGUAUGCUCAUUAAUUAAACCUUUAAUAUUUUAAGAUAAAAGUUUUCGUUGAUAUAAUUAUUAUCUUACUGUUACCAAUUAAAUCUAUCAUAUUCUUGUAUUUACUAUUUUGAAAAUUAUUCAAUCCAGUUAACUUUUAAAAUUUAAAAUUACAUUUCUUAUUUAUCUUUACUCAAAUUAAUUAAUUUCGAAUUUAGGAUAAAUUUAAUUGUCAAUAUUAAGUAUACUAAAAACACACACAAAGUUUUUAGUAGUUAUUUUUGAAAACUUUAAAUCUAAUCAAAUUAACUUUUUCCAAAUGAUAUUUAAUAAAAAAAUAUUAAACUAAUUAAGAACAAUGAAUACUUUAGCGUGUAUAAAUACCAAAAGCCCAUCAUCACAAACCAAUAAAUCAUUUACAUCCGCUAGUUUAAAUUCAUUAGACAGAGUCAUUUUCAAACUUGGAGACAAAUAUGAACAAUUUUCGAAUAACCAUUGUUGCGUUCUUAGCCGUUCUUGUCUUCACCACAACUGGUAUUUAGUUUCAUUAUACAUCAGUGUUACGCUUAGAUUGUUGGCCGCUUUGACAAAAACAACGUUUUGAUUAAUUAACUAUUUUUUUAAUUUGUUUCGCAGUUACGAAUUCUUUGGAUGAACCUAAUAUGGACACUAUAUCCAAAUCCAGAGAAUACAAAUGUAAAAUUGACCUGGAUUGUUCAAACCACAUUGCAUGUAGGCAUUGUUCUUAUCGCAAUUGCAAAUGCGAUCAUGGAACCUGUAAAUGCAUGCCAUGACUCUUAACCCACAAGGCCACAAGCCAUUGAUCCAACUGCAUCUUCAACUCGUCUUAAUCUCUCCUAUAUAUGUACUCUUUUGUUUGUAAUGCAAAAGAAAAUAAAACAUAAUAUUUUCAGUUGAUAAACUACUAAUGAAAUAUUAUACGUCAACGAAAUUUAGUAUAUAAACUACAAAACGGCAAAAAUAGCUUUCUCGAAACCAACAAAGUUAAUUGGACAAACGACAAAAAAACUCACAAAAGCCAUAGAUAGAUUUUUCAUUAACCACGUAACCGACACUUUCUUCUUUUGGGAUAAAUCUAUUUUUUUUUAAAAGCCAUAGAUUCUUAGGACACCUUAUUUUAAUGAAUUAUCUAAAUUUAAUCGGACAUUACAAACGUAACAUAUACUUACAUAUGCGUUAUUUAAUGAAAACAUUGACAAAAGUAAAUCAUUUUAGGCAACGAAACUUUCUGGACCCCAGAAUGCUCUAUAUAUAUACCUAUUAUUGUAGUCUUCCAAUAUUAUUACAUCGCAAACUAAGCUAUAGUUAUUCAGACCUCAAAUUCUACAAACGAAAUCGGUUAAGAGCUAGGAGAAAAUGAGCAAUCUUCGCCUAACCAUUGCAGUGUUUUUGGCCGCUCUUGUCUUCACUGCGACUUAGCUUGUACUUAGUUUUUUCUUUUAAUCUCAAAUUGAAUUUCUUUAUUGUUUCUUAUACAAGAACUGUGUUUUGAAUAAACUUUUUUAUUGGCAGUUUCAAACUCUGUGGUGGAAGCCAAGGGGAAAGAGGCCACAAUCAAAUUUUCAUGCAAAAAGAAUUCGGACUGUUUUACAAACAUUGCUUGUUAUGCUUUGUACUGAUUACCGAUGUGAUAAAGGAUUAUGUAAAUGCCAUGGUUUUGGUGGAGAAAAGGAAAAUCCCACAGCUGCGCCAUUAACUGCUUAAUUUCUCCAUUUCUUUUUUAAAUUUAUCUUUUGUUUUCUUGUAAUGCAAAUGGAUAAUUAAAAAGAUUUCAGAUCAAAUUAUAUCCUAUUAAUUAUUUUAAAUCAUUAUAUUUUAUCUCAUCUCUGCUUGAUCCUUUUACAUAAAAAUAUAAUAAUCACAUCAUCCAUAUUUUUUUUCUGCAUUUGUACGUGUUAAAAACUGCCACUAGUGAUUAAAUCCGGAAGUUAAUUUCAGGCAAAGUUAAUUUAGUUUUUUCCACCAAUUUUUUAAUUAUUAAAUUGUGUUUGGUUAUAUGAAUAAUACUAGGAAAAAGUAUGAGAUAUUUUUGCCCUUAAUAAGUGUCUUUUUUAAAAAAACAGCUUAUUAAUUAAUGACAUUUAAUGUAAAUCUUAACACGUCCAUAACUAUUUACUUAAAAAUGUUCCUCAAUAAGUAGUAUUAGAUAUUAGCAGUCAACUUUUCACAAAAAAAAAAAAAAAAAAAGAUAUUAUUAGUCAACAAAAUAAAAGAUUUGUUUAGUCAAAAACAAAACUCCAUAUUAUUAGUCAACAAAAAUUAUGAUAUUUUCAUUUAUGUUUACUAUUAAUGUAUACAGAUUUAUAGUUCCAAACAUUAAAAAACAGAUAAAAACCACUCUCUACUUAACCAUCAUGCCCCUAUAUAUAUAUGUUUUGUUCUGUCUUUUGUGUAUACUAUACACUAAUUUCAUUACAAACCAAACUAAAAUAAUAUACAUCGUUCAUUUCAUAUUCAACAGAAGGAAUCGGUUUUAAAACUCAAAGAGAAAAAUGAACAACCUUCGCGUAAUUAUGUCAGUGUUAUUGGCCGUUCUUGUCUUCACAGCGACUGGUAAUUAGUUUCUUUACCUUUAACGCAAUGAUCGGCCGCUCUAAACAAUUAACAGUGUUUUAAUUGAAUUGUUCUCUUUCUUCUUCUCGCAGUUUCAGAGUCUGCAGAGGAAAUGGGGAAGGGUGAGGUCACAAUCUCACUUAGAUGCAAAACGAAAACAGAAUGCUUAAAGAACAUUGCCUGUGAAGCUUGUGUCGAUUGUCGAUGCGAUAAAGGAAUUUGUAAAUGCCAUGGUUUCACAGCAGAAACCAACAAUCCAACCGUUUAACUCAUAUUUCUCCUAAAUGUUUUCUUUCUUUUUUAAUAUAAAAUGUAAAAGAAAAUAAAUCGCAAAGUUCAAUUAAUACACCAAUGAAAACUAUUUAUCAUUAUCAAUCAUUUGUUAUAUGAUUAUAUAUGGAAUGACGACGUGUGUUAAGAUUGAGAUCUCAAAUUCCACCCACAAAAACUAUGGAAACAGAAAAAAAUUAAAAGCACACGAACCAAUGUGAGAUUUACGUCAUCUUUUCGUCUUUGCAUAAUAAUGUGAAGGAGAGAAAGAGAAUUGCAAUGGCCAUUAGCUUGUAAACUGGAUGAGAAGAAGCCAUUUUGUUUCUUUGUUUUGAUUUAGUGUGCAUUUAGUAAGGUUAUAGGGUUUCUUUAUAUAGAAGGAGUAGAUUGCAACAAAAGCAUCCUCAGUGAGUGGCGUAGACUUGGAAUUUCC